Molecule: unclassified non-coding RNA, 108 nt
Organism: Nomascus leucogenys (northern white-cheeked gibbon)
Lineage: Eukaryota; Metazoa; Chordata; Mammalia; Primates; Hylobatidae
Rfam family: Y RNA
About the family: Y RNAs are components of the Ro ribonucleoprotein particle (Ro RNP), in association with Ro60 and La proteins.
Source: Ensembl
GACUGGUCUGAAGGCAGUGAGUCAACUCAAUUGAUUAUUCACAGUCAGUUACGCAUCCAACUCCUUAUUCUACUCUUCCCCGCUUCUCACUACUGCAUUUGAUAUUUG